GGAACGAUGACCGCUGUGAUAUGUGCUUUAUUGACUUUCUAAAGUGGAACCCAGAGUCCGUGCAGCACAUUCAGAGGAGCCUUCAAGGGAAAAAAAGGUGAAGAACCCUUCAGGAGAGCAACAGAGGAGGAUCCCUCUCUAGGAUGGACAGAUGAAUCGAUGUCAUGUGACCAGAAGGAAUCAUUACAGAGUAACAACACAUCCAAUCAGUAUGACAGAGUGGAUGAACAGUACAAUGUCGCCUGACUUCCUCUGUGUCUGUCCUGCACGCUCAGUUAUUCAAAUGUUUUGUAAUAAUAAUAAUCUCAUAUGUAACAAUAGUGAAUGAGAACCGCCUAAAACCGGUUAUACUGUUGGCGGUUAUGCCGAUAUAAUAGAGUAUACUUAUUUAAAUUAUUUAAAUGGUUUAGUGUUGCAGGCCAGGGGAGAAUAGUGGUUUAAUCAUUUGACCCCUAGCAGGGGAAUUGGGUUCUAAAUAUGUUAACCUGCUUUUCUUUGGACCCUCUGUAGUUUACUUAGUGGUUGGAUAUAAGAGGUUUCAACAGUGAUGUGUCUGUCUGUUGUAUAUUCAGCUGAUAUUCUGUGAUCCACUUCCACUUCACUUGUCUUCUAUUUCUAUUGUGAUGUUUUCUAAGAAUAGCUUUGCUUCAGGAACUUGUUCCCGUAUACAAAUGUACACAUUUAGAUGCUAUGUUUGAUGUUUCUUCUGCCUCACAUGGUGAUUUCUUCUAUUCUGCCUCAACUGUGGCUCACAGGAUCGUUGACUCUUUCUGCACGUUUAAAUUGUCAGUCUGGUUUAACCGUUGUAAAGCAUUUUCUUUUGCAAACCGCUCAUACAAAAUCUAUUAAAGAGGACUUUGUUUACUCCAACCUAAAAGCACGAAAGACAAUUCAAAUCAAAACUAAAGUCCUGAUCAAAUCAAGAUGUUAUGACAGGUUGCCACAAACUUUUGAGCAGCAGUGUAACAUACAAAUAAGAAAACAAAUAAGACAGAAAAAUAAAAAUAAAUCUUGAUUUUUUUUAGUAUAAGCUUAAAGCUACUAUCAGUAAUGCAAAUUUUUUAGCAAGUAUAUUGGGCUUUAUAGGGUGUUUGCAUGCUUAAAUGUAUUAAUAAGCAAUAAACAUGAACUACGCUGA
Molecule: long non-coding RNA, 1138 nt
Organism: Pseudoliparis swirei
Lineage: Eukaryota; Metazoa; Chordata; Actinopteri; Perciformes; Liparidae
Exons: 2
Source: RefSeq, a predicted model, not a curated record